ACUCAAAAUAUGACACCCUAGAACCUAAAACUAGUUGCUAGAAUAGGCUAAAAAUGGUCAUAAUGCAUGGUGUCUUUAAGUAUUAACCAAAGCAGUAAAAAAACUAUGUACACAAGUUUUAAAACAUAAAAGAAAGAUAAAAAUAAGGGCAAAAUUCGAAAAUACAAAGAAGUUAAAGAUUUGACUAUUAAGGACCUAAUAUUACACUACUUAAAGCCUAAAAACUAUACUAAAUAGGUUACAGUUUCGAAAUUAACCUAAGGAAACCUAAGAAUGUAUAAUUUUGUUAUCCUAACAAGUUUAAAGUACCUAAAUAAAGCUAAGAAAGAUGUCAAAGUGGAUGAAGUACCUAAAUCUCAAAAUUUGGCUAGUUAAACCUAAAAAGUGUACUAAAUAGGUAAGAAAACGAGAAUUGACCUAAAGUAACCUAAGAGUGUGUAUUCUAAAAAUCCUAACAAGUUUAAAGUUGUUAAAGGAAGCUAAGAAACAUGUCAAAAUAGAUGAAGUACCUAAAUCUCAAAGUUUG
RNAcentral lists this long non-coding RNA (526 nucleotides) under Vigna radiata. RNAcentral's name for it is "long non-coding RNA (VRAD_LNC012506)". The record is from RNAcentral. Lineage: Eukaryota; Viridiplantae; Streptophyta; Magnoliopsida; Fabales; Fabaceae.